AUGGCUGUCGUCAGCUCGUGUCGUGAGAUGUUGGGUUAAGUCCCGCAACGAGCGCAACCCUUGUCCUAUGUUGCCAGCGGGUAAUGCCGGGGACUCGUAGGAGACUGCCGGGGUCAACUCGGAGGAAGGUGGGGAUGACGUCAAGUCAUCAUGCCCCUUAUGUCCAGGGCUGCACACAUGCUACAAUGGCCGAUACAGAGGGCUGCUAUCCCGCGAGGGUGAGCGAAUCCCAAAAAGUCGGUCUCAGUUCGGAUCGCAGUCUGCAACUCGACUGCGUGAAGUCGGAGUCGCUAGUAAUCCCGGAUCAGCAACGCCGGGGUGAAUACGUUCCCGGGCCUUGUACACACCGCCCGUCACACCACGAAAGUCGGUAACACCCGAAGCCAGUGGCCCAACCGCAAGGAGGGAGCUGUCGAAGGUGGGAUUGGUGAUUGGGGUGAAGUCGUAACAAGGUAGCCGUACCGGAAGGUGCGGCUGGAUCACCUCCUUUCUAAGGAGUAUUUGGUGGAUCAUUCUGAUCCACCCACUCCCAAGUUGAUCAUUAGCUAUUCGGUACCUCUGGUGAGCACGCUUUUUGCAGGAUCUAAUCCUCAAGGCGUAGGAGCCGGAAGUGCCGGGUAAUCCUCUGUUCCGUUUUCUGGGGGCAUUCGCCUCCAGCACCCACACAGCGAAGCCGGCCUACGGGCCGGCCUCUUGCUGUGUGCGCGCCCCUUGAGAAUUCCAUAGCGAGCACGAGCAUCUUUGUUUUUCCAAGCUACAAAGAGCCAACGGUGGAUGCCUUGGCGCCUGAAGCCGAUGAAGGACGUGGGUGGCUGCGAUAAGCCACGGGGAGCUGCCUACCAAGCGUUGAUCCGUGGAUGUCCGAAUGGGGAAACCCGG
RNAcentral lists this small RNA (879 nucleotides) under uncultured Acidimicrobiales bacterium. Its description in RNAcentral is "bacterial SSU rRNA". The stretch from base 1 to 490 matches the Rfam family "Bacterial small subunit ribosomal RNA", at positions 1045 to 1533 of the family's 1533-position model. The record is from RNAcentral. Lineage: Bacteria; Bacillati; Actinomycetota; Acidimicrobiia; Acidimicrobiales.